This 495-nucleotide ribosomal RNA is filed under the name uncultured bacterium. RNAcentral's name for it is "partial 16S ribosomal RNA". It matches the Rfam family "Bacterial small subunit ribosomal RNA", at positions 28 to 507 of the family's 1533-position model. The record is from RNAcentral.
GAUGAACGCUGGCGGCGUGCCUAAUACAUGCAAGUAGAACGCUGAAGGAGGAGCUUGCUCUUCUGGAUGAGUUGCGAACGGGUGAGUAACGCGUAGGGAACCUGCCUGGUAGCGGGGGAUAACUAUUGGAAACGAUAGCUAAUACCGCAUGACAACAGUUAUUGCAUGAUAACUGUUUAAAAGGGGCAACUGCUCCACUACCAGAUGGACCUGCGUUGUAUUAGCUAGUUGGUGAGGUAACGGCUCACCAAGGCGACGAUACAUAGCCGACCUGAGAGGGGGCUCGGCCACACUGGGACUGAGACACGGCCCAGACUCCUACGGGAGGCAGCAGUAGGGAAUCUUCGGCAAUGGACGGAAGUCUGACCGAGCAACGCCGCGUGAGUGAAGAAGGUUUUCGGAUCGUAAAGCUCUGUUGUAAGAGAAGAACGAGUGUGAGAGUGGAAAGUUCACACUGUGACGGUAUCUUACCAGAAAGGGACGGCUAACUACGUG